GGUAAACGGAUAAAACAAGAAAAAGUACAAAUUUCAAGAGGCAAGUUUUGAAACAAAAAACUCUAGCAGAUAAGUGCCAUCAGAAACCAGAGAAACCGCGUGAGAGUGUUGAGGGAUUUUGGAAAUUAG
Molecule: small RNA, 129 nt
Filed under: Caenorhabditis elegans
Lineage: Eukaryota; Metazoa; Nematoda; Chromadorea; Rhabditida; Rhabditidae
Description: Unclassified non-coding RNA F57C7.15
Source: RNAcentral